Molecule: ribosomal RNA, 432 nt
Filed under: uncultured bacterium
Lineage: Bacteria
Description: partial 16S ribosomal RNA
Rfam family: Bacterial small subunit ribosomal RNA
Source: RNAcentral
AACGAACGCUGGCGGCAUGCCUAACACAUGCAAGUCGAACGAGACCUUCGGGUCUAGUGGCGCACGGGUGCGUAACGCGUGGGAACCUGCCCUUAGGUUCGGAAUAACUCCCCGAAAGGGGUGCUAAUACCGGAUAAUGUCUUCGGACCAAAGAUUUAUCGCCUUUGGAUGGGCCCGCGUUGGAUUAGCUAGUUGGUAGGGUAAAAGCCUACCAAGGCGACGAUCCAUAGCUGGUCUGAGAGGAUGAUCAGCAACACUGGGACUGAGACACGGCCCAGACUCCUACGGGAGGCAGCAGUGGGGAAUAUUGGACACUGGGCGAAAGCCUGAUCCAGCAAUGCCGCGUGAGUGAUGAAGGCCUUAGGGUUGUAAAGCUCUUUUACCCGGGAUGAUAAUGACAGUACCGGGAGAAUAAGCUCCGGCUAACUCCGU